UGGGGAAUCUUGCGCAAUGGACGAAAGUCUGACGCAGCCACGCCGCGUGAGUGAAGAAGGCCUUCGGGUUGUAAAGCUCUGUCGGGAGGGACGAAAAUCUUUACGGUGAAUAGCCGUAGAGACUGACGGUACCUCCAAAGGAAGCACCGGCUAACUUCGUGCCAGCAGCCGCGGUAAUACGAGGGGUGCAAGCGUUGCUCGGAAUUAUUGGGCGUAAAGGGUAGGUAGGUGGUCUCAUUUGUCAGGGGUGAAAGCCUUAGGCUUAACCUAAGAAGUGCCCCUGAAACGGUGAGACUCGAGUACUGGAGAGGGUCGUGGAAUUCCCGGUGUAGCGGUGAAAUGCGUAGAGAUCGGGAGGAACACCAGAGGCGAAGGCGGCGACCUGGACAGUUACUGACACUCAACUACGAAAGCGUGGGGAGCAAACAGGAUUAGAUACCCCCGUAGUCCCUGAGCGGGCUGGCAAGGCGCAU
Molecule: ribosomal RNA, 473 nt
Filed under: uncultured bacterium
Lineage: Bacteria
Description: bacterial SSU rRNA
Rfam family: Bacterial small subunit ribosomal RNA
Source: RNAcentral